GUCUGAGGGAAGUGGAGUUCUGCUCCCCAGACAGGCCCUGGGCGGUUCAACCGGAGGGUUCCGCGGUCGCCUCCCCCGGAGCUUCGGCCCCGAAGAGGCGGAAUAUCGGCUGUUCGCUCGCAAAAAACUGCAUUUCCAAAGCCUCCCAGCCCUAUCGCCCCCCCCCCCCCCCGCCAGGGCUGCCCAGGACUGAUGUUUUUCGCCUUUUGUACGGCUCAGGAGCGUGUGAUAAGCGAUGCCUUUGGCCAGAAUUGUCUGCAGGGCCCUGCUGUGCUUUCUGCUGGGGUGGCCACCCUUGGGCGGUGCUGCACGCAGGAGAGGGCAGAGCACGGCAGGAUUCUUUGUGAGGCCCUCAGCGUUUGAGGGGUGAAUGUGCUGCGCCUUUGUUCCCGGCUUUUCUUCAGCACGGUGCUCCCACCCUUCAGUCCCUGUCAGUGUAUCCAGGCACAUUCAGGAACGGCUUUGUCGGCAUUCCAGGUGCUCAGGCCUUGUGAUUGUGGUGAAACGCUCUGGAUUGAUGGAUUAUCCAGUUUUGUAAGAAUCUGGGUUUAACAAAUGCAUAGGCAUAGUUACUUGU
Sturnus vulgaris (Common starling) is the source of this 577-nucleotide non-coding RNA. The record is from RefSeq and is a predicted model, not a curated record. NCBI's taxonomy places the organism in Eukaryota, Metazoa, Chordata, Aves, Passeriformes, Sturnidae.